Molecule: transfer RNA, 72 nt
Filed under: Bos taurus (domestic cattle)
Lineage: Eukaryota; Metazoa; Chordata; Mammalia; Artiodactyla; Bovidae
Also listed under: 3 other names
Rfam family: tRNA
About the family: Transfer RNA (tRNA) molecules are approximately 80 nucleotides in length. Their secondary structure includes four short double-helical elements and three loops (D, anti-codon, and T loops).
Source: Rfam by way of RNAcentral
UCCCUGGUGGUCCAGUGGCUAAGACUCUGAGCUCCCAAUGCAGGGGUCCUGGUUCAAUCCCUGAUCAGGGAA